GAAGUGAAAGCAAAAGACGAGGUAAGGUAUAAAAAGCUGCCUCGUCUAUAAACACCUUCUGCAAAUACACUCCAGUCCACAGAGCUCACAGGUGAGGUGACACAGAAAGAAAGAAGAAUGAGCUUCUGGAUGUCAGGGACGCCACAGUGUCAGUGCCACUGCGGUGGCCAAGGACAACAAAGAAACGUAGUCCCAUACAACACUCAAAUGCAGAACGCACUACAGUGCCAACAAAGACAAAACACUGUUAUGAUGCCACAAAUCAUCAGCGACUCUGAUGAUGAGGAAGAAUUUUCUUAUACGCACAGAAAGAAGGUCACUGUGCUCACUAAGAACGGACCACGGCGUGUCCAAUACACUCAACGCUUUGAUUUCUCUCCCUGCUGAACUUCUGAAGAAACACCACAAGCAUGAAUUUCAAGUUUCACCUGCAAUGAUGUCAGAUCUUAAUGUCUGAUGACUCUGUGUUGAUCUUGAGUUGUUUUUUUUUUGACAUUUAAAGAACUCAUUAAAUAGUAACAGGCUUAUGUCGGUGUUAUUCCAUGGUGUCUGUGAUGAGCUGAUUGGUUUACUCUUUUUAUAACUGCAUCAUUUUGGGAGCUGAUCUCAUUUACAUGUAAGCAUUUAAAUGAAGUAGUUAUUUACUAUCUUGCUACUUUUUUGAUGCUUAAUGUUUCUUUAUUAAUCUAUGUUUUAAAGUAAACUAUAUGUAGAAUGUUAUUAGUUUUUAAUUGGGCUCUUGGGUUGAAUAUAUGUUGUAUUCAUAACAUAAUUUUACUUAUAACCUUAAAAAUAAUUUAAUGCACAAAAAGUAUGCAUUUUUUAACCAUCAUUAACAAGGAGUUAGAUCAUGAUUAAGCUGAUCAUUAAAGGGGUCAGGUCUUAUAAAGUGCUGCCACAUUUAAGAAAGACAAUUGUUAGCUGAAAUAAAUUGUUAAUCUGGGAAAGUGUCUGAAUUUUCUCAGUCAGGGAGAUUCUGAACAGCUGGGCAAGCCCACCUUCAGGAGCCCCCUCAAGUUCAGCUCAGUGCUCAGUCUUGGGUUCUCUUUGUAAAGUAAAGAACUCAUACAUUAAAGUAUAUACUCUGAAAUGUGCUGUGAACUUGUCUUUUUUGUAUCAUCUAUGGAAAUCAAUUGUUUUUACAGAACAUUACUGUCAGAAUAAAACCUCAUAUAUAU
Molecule: long non-coding RNA, 1178 nt
Organism: Colossoma macropomum (tambaqui)
Lineage: Eukaryota; Metazoa; Chordata; Actinopteri; Characiformes; Serrasalmidae
Exons: 4
Source: RefSeq, a predicted model, not a curated record